GUCGGGAAUUUUGCUCAAUGGGCGCAAGCCUGAAGCAGCAACGCCGCGUGAGGGAUGAAGGCCUUCGGGUUGUAAACCUCUUUUCUCAGGGACGAUGAUGACGGUACCUGAGGAAUAAGCCACGGCUAACUACGUGCCAGCAGCCGCGGUAAUACGUAGGUGGCGAGCGUUGUCCGGAUUUACUGGGCGUAAAGAGCGCGCAGGCGGUCGGAUUAGUCGAGUGUGAAAGCCCCCGGCUCAACUGGGGAGGGUCACUCGAUACUGUUCGACUUGAAGACGGGAGAGGGACGCGGAAUUCCCGGUGUAGUGGUGAAAUGCGUAGAUAUCGGGAGGAACACCAGUGGCGAAGGCGGCGUUCUGGCCCGCUCUUGACGCUGAGGCGCGAAAGCCAGGGGAGCAAACGGGAUUAGAUACCCGAGUAGUCC
Molecule: ribosomal RNA, 425 nt
Filed under: uncultured bacterium
Lineage: Bacteria
Description: bacterial SSU rRNA
Rfam family: Bacterial small subunit ribosomal RNA
Source: RNAcentral